This is a long non-coding RNA of Onychostoma macrolepis, 1431 nucleotides long. RefSeq lists it as uncharacterized. NCBI's taxonomy places the organism in Eukaryota, Metazoa, Chordata, Actinopteri, Cypriniformes, Cyprinidae. The transcript is spliced from 7 exons. The record is from RefSeq and is a predicted model, not a curated record.
AGUAAAUCUCCGUCUCUCGCUGCUGUUUUCACUGCUUUCAGAAAUGUUUUACAGUCUUCGAAAAAGUCCGCUAGCAUCUGUUUUCAGACGAGGAGUGAUAAUAUAAUCUUUCUACAAAGGAAGAGAAGCUCCAAGAUUUCAAAAUUGCUGAAGGGAGCUGCUGACAGAAAUGCAGAAAACACAGUUAACCAUCAUCUAACAACAGCAUAGAUUAUAUGCUGAUGGCCGUGCAGCAGAGGAGCGCAGAGUCUCUUGUCGGACAACAUCUCUAAGUCGCUAUGUACCAUGUUACUAGAUCCUAUGUACCCAGCCUCAACCAUUCAUCAGAAGGACUGUGAAAGCAGGAACUCUUUGAACCACCAGUGGCAGUUUCCACGGGAUGAAAAAGGGCAUAGUAGUGGAUGAUGAGGUCCUGAGACCAUAUGGGGUGAAGAUCAAGACAACCAAACCAAAGGUGGACUGUAACCUACUGGACUAUAUGAUAGACUUCAUACUGACCACUACUGCCAUGUAUGCAGCAUGAAAAGUUUUUGAAAAAGGUGGCAUUUCCUUCACCAAGUAAAAGUGUGGAGGAUUCAUCUGGCCUUCAUCGGGCCCCCAUGAGGUGACUCGAUGUAGAAUAAAUCAACUUGCUUUAGGCUUGAAAUGACUGAAAUCUUCUCAUGUGAGUUGAUAUCAUUUAAACAUUCUUUAAAGUACUUCUCAUUUCUUGUGAAUGUAUUUUGUAGUAUGUGUAAAACUUUUCCACUGAAAGAACCUUUUUUACCUUUAUUGAUAUUGUAAUCAAGGUUGUUAAUGCUAUGGACUGCACACAUCUGCCUGUGUUGGGCUUGUGUUCACAGGUUGUAUAAAACUAGGCCUGGCUGCAACAACUAAUCGAUAAUGAAAAUAAUCAUCAACGAAUUUGAAUAGUGCAUCAAAACAAACAGACCGCUCAUAAUUCUGACUAAAAUACACAUUUUGUUCAAAUAUUUUUUUGUUAGAAAUUAAGUGUAGGUUUAAAACCCUACAUGUAACACAAGUAAUCAUAUUUAUGAGAGCAGUAACAGUAAAGGCACUAUGGUUGGAACUGUCCAUUAAUAUAAUAUAAUAUAAUUGCUCUGUUCAGACGAAUGAUUGUGUUUAUUCUUCGUACCUCUUACAAGUUAACAUUGUGUUUUUUUGUUUAAAUUGUUUUAAAUUCUGUUUCAAAAUAACAAACAAUCUGUUGUUUUUAGGUUUAGAAUGUAAUGUUUGUAUUUUAAGACUUUAAUGCUUAUAAUGAACAGCAGAGCCUACAUAAGGCAUCUUUACACAGCAAAGGCGGCACAGAAACCAAAUCUGAAGCGGCAUAAAACCACGAAAAUGUGCUUUUACACAGACCGUUUAAUGCUGUUCUGAAGCGGCAUAAAUGCAUUUACACAGGAAUUAAAAUUGCGGGAAACAUAUACC